RNAcentral lists this non-coding RNA (29 nucleotides) under Rattus norvegicus (Norway rat). Lineage: Eukaryota; Metazoa; Chordata; Mammalia; Rodentia; Muridae. The record is from RNAcentral.
UAAUAAAUGUGGACUAUUCAAUGGUAUUA